AGUGAACGCUGGCGGUAGGCCUAACACAUGCAAGUCGAACGGCAGCACAGUAAGAGCUUGCUCUUACGGGUGGCGAGUGGCGGACGGGUGAGGAAUACAUCGGAAUCUACUUUUUCGUGGGGGAUAACGUAGGGAAACUUACGCUAAUACCGCAUACGACCUACGGGUGAAAGCAGUGGAUCUUCUGACCUUGCGCGAUUGAAUGAGCCGAUGUCGGAUUAGCUAGUUGGCGGGGUAAAGGCCCACCAAGGCGACGAUCCGUAGCUGGUCUGAGAGGAUGAUCAGCCACACUGGAACUGAGACACGGUCCAGACUCCUACGGGAGGCAGCAGUGGGGAAUAUUGGACAAUGGGCGCAAGCCUGAUCCAGCCAUACCGCGUGGGUGAAGAAAGCCUUCGGGUUGUAAAGCCCUUUUGUAGGGAAAGAAAAGCAGCAGGUUAAUACCCCGCUGUUCUGACGGUACCCAAAGAAUAAGCACCGGCUAACUUCGUG
This 492-nucleotide ribosomal RNA is filed under the name uncultured bacterium. RNAcentral's name for it is "partial 16S ribosomal RNA". It matches the Rfam family "Bacterial small subunit ribosomal RNA", at positions 29 to 507 of the family's 1533-position model. The record is from RNAcentral.